CCGUGGAACGGUAGGGUUGUCGAGCUGCUGCUCGGGACCAGGCGGGCGGGACGGUGCUACGCCAAAGGCCGGAGGCCUGAGGUCCUUUUGGGAAAUGCGAGGAGACCGGUGCGGCCAAUAUAACCGAAGGCAUGGCUGAGUUUUCUGGGCGUUCUCGCCCGCGCACAGUGACUUGGUGGGACGGGCAGGGCCUGACUGCGGGCUGCGCGCGGGCAUUUUAAAGUUAUAUUAGGGAUCUUUCUUGGUGUCAGAGUCGCUCAAAGGAAAUGGUUCUGGGGAUGAUACCUCCACCUUCCAACUGAUCCGUUAUAGUUUUGCUACAAUGCUUGUCAGGCGGCAGGACCCGUGAGCUGGGGGUUGCUUGUCUCUGAACCACCCCAGGGAGCGGAUUCAGAAUACCUGAAGAUGAAGGAGGUGCAAAUAGUGGUUAAGACCGGCUCUGGAGUGAGAUGGGCAGUCGCGUCCUGACUCCACCUCCUGGCCUUCUGACCUGCCUGAGCCAGUGACGUAAGUCCUCUCUGAACCUCAGUUAUCGGGCGGUACGAUGGGAGUAAUGAUAGUAUAUAACUUACAGGAUGGUUGAGAGAACUGAAUAAUGGCUGUCCAAUGGCUAACCAGGCGCCUACUACGUAUAGUAUGCACUAAUAAAUUAUCGUUAGUGUUGUGAUGACUAGGGCAGAUCUUGGCAGCGCUCCCUUCACCUGUUUUUAAUUUUGGAGUUCCAGUAGCACUGAAGAAAAGAGAUCCAGCUUUUGGAAAAGAAGAGAGAAAUAGGUAACUGGGUUCUAUAAGGGCCAUUUCCGUUUGUCUGCUAUGAUAAGGGGAUAGUUGUUUUGGUUCACCUCAGCUAACAUUAGUGGGCGCUGAGGAUGCUGAAAAAAAUUGACUCUCCUCAUCCUGUAGGAACUUACAUUAGACCAAGGGGGUCAGAGGAGUUGCCCUUGGCGUCAGUGUGGUAAGGGUAAUGUAGAAAGUACUGCAGAAACACAGAUGCAUUACAGUUCUGCUGGGUCAGGAAAGGCCUCAGACAUUUAAACUCCAUAUUUUAAACAUACUGAGGAACAGUGGUUUUCCUGCAUACAAGGAGGGGAAAGGGUAGCCCAGGAAGAGAAAAAUAGCAUUGAUUGCUAUGUUAAAAGUUUUCAAACUCCUUGCAUUUCCAAGUGCUUUUAUAAACAUUUACUAUUCAUAUCCAUAAAAAAUCUUUAUGAGUAACAUGUUUAGGGCUCAAAGAGUUUUAAAUGAUCUGCUCAAAGUCACCUAGAUGCUGAAUUCCAAAACGAAGAUCAAAAUCCCUUGCUACCUGUUACUAUGUAAUUUUCACCUUACCAUAUGGCCUUGUACACCUACUCAUCUUGAAGUAUCAGAGCUUCUGUGGUUUAUAAGCACAGUAUUUCAACUUUGGCUGCCUGUCAGAAUCACCUGUAGGGCUUUAAAAAUUACAGAUGUCUAAUCCACUCCCAGACUUAUUAAAUCAGAAGGGGUGUGGAUUGUAUGGAAGGAACUUGUAAUUUUCUUUUUAAAGCCCCGCAGGUGGUGUUGGUACCAGAACUGAGAAUUAACUGGAUUCCAACCUUUAUUUUUUUUUAACUUCACAUCACAGCUAUAUCUAAAAGGUCAAUUACAUGGAUGUUGUAUUUCAUAUACUCAGAAAAUAUAAGUUCCCAAGUUCUCUAGGCUUAUGAUAGACAAGAAGUUUAAUAGACACGUUCCUCCUUGGCCAACAGAUUUUUCCUUCGCUUAAAUCCUUGCUGAAAAUAGGGGCAAGAUGUGAAUAGGGCAAAUCUCAGCAGCAUAGGGCAACCUAUGAAUGAAUGCAUAGGUUUUCAUUUAUUAAGAGAAACCAGAGUAAAUGUUUUCUGGGAAAAAUGCUUUGAAAAUGAACACAUCCUAGCUUGAUUGGUCAGGAAGUGCAAUUAUCUGUCGAAUAUUUUUAACUAAGUUAGUCUAGGUCAAUAGCCUCAAAGCAUACUCUCUAGAAAGUUAAUCUCUGGAGAUGCUUCCAGAAAGGAGGGUUCCAUGGCUAUAUACAUUGAUAUUUGCCACGUACAGAUGCAAAGGAGGCUAUGAUUAGCUUAGGUCAGUCAGAGUCGAUCAUUGUGGACAUCAACAUACUGCUGUCCCAAAUCAGAUUAAAGUCAUGUUAAAACUGAGUAAGUAGGGAAUGGAUUUUAGGUAAGCACCUAAAAUGUCACAACUUUGUUGAACCUAUUUUCCAAACAUUUUCAACACUACCCAUUUUGUGAAAUACCAUGAAAACUUGGGAAAUGCUAGCCUUGCACAUGUGUGUGCACAUGCACACACAGCCCAACUCAUGAAUGAUUUCAGAGAUUGGAAUAUGUUCGUAUUGACAAUUUUUACAUAUUCUAAGGUGAAUCAGACUUAGUUUGCAACUGUCUUGCUUCAUUAGACUUAGUUAUCCUGGAUAGGUUUCUUUAGGAAACUCCAUAUAUAAGCUCUGUCCUUUAAUCAAUGUAGAUUAGUAGGAUUUGUAGAGAUAGACUUUAGACAUCCAUGCAACUCAACUUUCACUUCAUAGAUUUGGAAACUGAGGUCCAGAGAGGUUAAUUUACUCUAAGUGAUUCUGUCUCCAGAUAUCCAGGUCAGCAUUUUUUCAUCUCAUACUGUCUGUCCUGUCCCAUGCUCUACCUGUAGCAUCUUCACUAAUGAAAUGAUGUGGAACAUGGAUAUUACUGGGCAUGCUGCUCAGAGUCAAACUUUUGGAAAGAUGGUCAAAGCGAUUAAAAUACUACAUUUCAACUUCACAUCAUCUCUUUGGAGUCGGUCUCGUGAGAUCCCUGGUCUUUAGAUUUUCCUCUCGGAACAUACUCCCCACCUCUAUCCAUCUCCCUAAUGGCUCCUUCCCUGAUCCCAUGAUUUGGGGAGUGGGUGCUGACAAGACAGGCCUGGGUAUGUUCCUGAUGGGAAAGGGGCCCAGGAAAAAGGUAGAUACCCAGACUUUCAGUCAGACAAGGUCCCACCAGGUCCAGUUCUGCUUACCAGAGUUAGGGCUUCCCCCCAAGUGUAUGUGUCCAGACUUUUAUGUAAUAAUAAACAUGGCUUUGAUCUGCCUUUAUCCUCCUUUGGAGGCUUAGUAAAGGUAACUGCUCAGUAGUAGGCAAGUUGCAGGCAGAGACCCUGCCUUUGGCUCUCUCUCCAUGACAAUGCUCCUGAGUCAGGUCUGGUCACCAGGAGAAAUCACAGCAUAUUUGAGCAGUGAAGUUAGCAUAAGGAUAACACUAACAAAGUUGUUAACUAGGUAAUCGGAAAGGUGAAAAGAGAGCUCUAAGGUGUCAGAGAGGCAGCAACUGCAGGAAGCACCUUCCUGGCUGGGGGAUCAAAAGGAAGAGGUCAGUAGUAUUACAUUUUAGAAACUUGGAGGAUGAGGGCGCUGUGUUCCGGGGCCUCUGAUCUCCGAGGGGCACCUGGCUGAGCAGACGUGUGAGGAAAGCUGCACACGGGGAUCAACUGCCGCUGCUGGAGUGAGGAAGCAGAGUGAGGCUCAUGGACUGGCCUACAGACCUAGGGAAGCUGGGCUGAGAAUGUGAUUCCUAGCACUGAGGCAGCCAUCUUGCACCUAUGAAGUAGCAAGCUUGAGGACAAGAAAGCACGCUGAGAGAGGCAGAGCAGAGAAAACAAAGCUCAGUUUCUGGAUGAAAUUGUUGAGCCACUGCAUGAAGUCUGAAACAUUAUCCGCAGGCUUAUUGCUGUGAAGCAUAUUGCUCUGCUCAAUCUACCAUCUAGUUUCUGUUUAACCCAUCCUGGAUGGUAAGUUCAACAAGUAGAACUGGAACCCAGCAACCUGGGGCAUCAAAGCGGAGGUCAGAUGAUAUGAAGAGACAACUGAAAUCAUUUCAGAUAGCUGAAAGGCAUGUCAUGUUUAACAAAAAUAAAAACAAUUUGAAUAUG
Manis javanica (Malayan pangolin) is the source of this 3909-nucleotide non-coding RNA. The record is from RefSeq and is a predicted model, not a curated record. NCBI's taxonomy places the organism in Eukaryota, Metazoa, Chordata, Mammalia, Pholidota, Manidae.